This 479-nucleotide ribosomal RNA is filed under the name uncultured bacterium. RNAcentral's name for it is "partial 16S ribosomal RNA". It matches the Rfam family "Bacterial small subunit ribosomal RNA", at positions 28 to 523 of the family's 1533-position model. The record is from RNAcentral.
GACGAACGCUGGCGGCGUGCUUAACACAUGCAAGUCGAACGGUAAGGCCCUUCGUGGUACACGAGUGGCGAACGGGUGAGUAACACGUGGGUGAUCUGCCCUUCACUUCGGGAUAAGCCUGGGAAACUGGGUCUAAUACCGGAGCGGACCACGGCCCGCAUGGGUGGUGGUGGAAAGCUUUCUGCGUGCUGGGAUGGGCCCGCGGCCUAUCAGCUUGUUGGUGGGGUGACGGCCUACCGAGGCAACGACGGGUAGCCGGCCUGAGAGGGUGACCGGCCACACUGGGACUGAGAUACGGCCCAGACUCCUACGGGAGGCCGCAGUGGGGAAUAUUGCACAAUGGGCGCAAGCCUGAUACAGAGACGCCGCGUGAGGGAUGACGGCCUUCGGGUUGUAAACCUCUUUCAGCACCGACGAAGCGCAAGUGACGGUAGGUGCAGAAGAAGGACCGGCCAACUACGUGCCAGCAGCCGCAGUAA